Long non-coding RNA from Selaginella moellendorffii, 913 nucleotides. RefSeq lists it as uncharacterized. The record is from RefSeq and is a predicted model, not a curated record. NCBI's taxonomy places the organism in Eukaryota, Viridiplantae, Streptophyta, Lycopodiopsida, Selaginellales, Selaginellaceae. The transcript has 4 exons.
UCCCUCAAGAACCCUAAAGAGUUUGGGAAGGACAAGGGAAAAACCCUAGGAAGGAAGCGCACAGCGGCGCCAUUGUGUUUGAGCGGUCGAUCGUUUGGCGAUGGCGGGGCCUGCGGGGGGUCCAUACUCCGGGACGAGCACACUGGCUAUGGUCGCUAGAGUCUCUGCGUUCUCAUUUGGGCUUGUCUAUGGUGCGAUGAAGUUAAGUUACUUGAAGGCAAAGGCUCGAUCGGAGCAAAGGGCUGCCGCCAAAAUGGCACACUGAGACGGAGAGAACUUUCCACAGCCACCUUCCAUUUCAACCCUCGGGGACUCUUUUGAUAAACCUUGGAAUGGUAUGGUUCAUUUUUCCGCAAUAGCAGCAGCUAGCAACGAAUUUUUCCCCCGAGGAUUCUAAUCUCUUCUUUUUGGAUCAUUUGGAUCAAAGAAUAAGCUCCUGGAGAGUCUCUUUUUCCGAAGAAGUUCUGCUCUUGCUCGCUGGGCCUUGAUGACACAGAAACAUUUCUCGAUGCUGAGAGGAAAAAAAAUAUCCCUGCUGAGAAAUCGUGCGUAGUGUCUGAUGCCCAGGACCAAGGACUUAAGGGUUUUUAGGGCACAUGGAGGAUGGCACAUGGAUGUGCCAUGCAUGUAGCCAUGAUGCGGCCAUAUCCACUUGGCGCAAGUUGCCUGAUAUUGACGUGACAGUGAUGUGGGAUCCGCAUGCAUGCCAAUGGAUGCGUAGGUAUGCGCAUAUAUGACAGGCCACAAGUGGGCACAUGGGGCCGCUAGGAUGGCUCGCCGAGCUUGCUUGUGACGAGCAAGUGAGGCACCAGGAAUUGGAUUUCGCGAUUUUGUUCUAUCCGUGGGGCUGCAGACAAGCAUUUUUAUACGCAUUACUAUUUACAAUAUCAUGCUUUUUUCCCGCCUUUUGCAA